CUUUUUUUCUGGUUGAGGGGUGGUCGGGGUUUUUAGGGUUUAAAAUUCGGCUCAGAUUGAACGCUGGCGGCAGGCCUAACACAUGCAAGUCGAGCGGAUGAAGAGAGCUUGCUCUCUGAUUCAGCGGCGGACGGGUGAGUAAUGCCUAGGAAUCUGCCUGGUAGUGGGGGACAACGUUUCGAAAGGAACGCUAAUACCGCAUACGUCCUACGGGAGAAAGCAGGGGACCUUCGGGCCUUGCGCUAUCAGAUGAGCCUAGGUCGGAUUAGCUAGUUGGUGAGGUAAUGGCUCACCAAGGCGACGAUCCGUAACUGGUCUGAGAGGAUGAUCAGUCACACUGGAACUGAGACACGGUCCAGACUCCUACGGGAGGCAGCAGUGGGGAAUAUUGGACAAUGGGCGAAAGCCUGAUCCAGCCAUGCCGCGUGUGUGAAGAAGGUCUUCGGAUUGUAAAGCACUUUAAGUUGGGAGGAAGGGUUGUAGAUUAAUACUCUGCAAUUUUGACGUUACCGACAGAAUAAGCACCGGCUAACUCUGUGCCAGCAGCCGCGGUAAUACAGAGGGUGCAAGCGUUAAUCGGAAUUACUGGGCGUAAAGCGCGCGUAGGUGGUUUGUUAAGUUGGAUGUGAAAGCCCCGGGCUCAACCUGGGAACUGCAUUCAAAACUGACAAGCUAGAGUAUGGUAGAGGGUGGUGGAAUUUCCUGUGUAGCGGUGAAAUGCGUAGAUAUAGGAAGGAACACCAGUGGCGAAGGCGACCACCUGGACUGAUACUGACACUGAGGUGCGAAAGCGUGGGGAGCAAACAGGAUUAGAUACCCUGGUAGUCCACGCCGUAAACGAUGUCAACUAGCCGUUGGGAGCCUUGAGCUCUUAGUGGCGCAGCUAACGCAUUAAGUGACCGCUCUGGAGACCCCCAUUUGGGA
Molecule: ribosomal RNA, 924 nt
Filed under: Pseudomonas vancouverensis
Lineage: Bacteria; Pseudomonadati; Pseudomonadota; Gammaproteobacteria; Pseudomonadales; Pseudomonadaceae
Description: partial 16S ribosomal RNA
Rfam family: Bacterial small subunit ribosomal RNA
Source: RNAcentral